GGGACAACAGUUGGAAACGACUGCUAAUACCGCAUAAGCCCACGACCCGGCAUCGGGAAGAGGGAAAAGGAGCAAUCCGCUUUGAGAUGGCCUCGCGUCCGAUUAGCUAGUUGGUGAGGUAACGGCCCACCAAGGCAACGAUCGGUAGCCCGACUGAGAGGUUGAACGGCCACAUUGGGACUGAGACACGGCCCAGACUCCUACGGGAGGCAGCAGUGGGGAAUAUUGCACAAUGGGGGAAACCCUGAUGCAGCGACGCCGCGUGGAGGAAGAAGGUCUUCGGAUUGUAAACUCCUGUUGUUGAGGAAGAUAAUGACGGUACUCAACAAGGAAGUGACGGCUAACUACGUGCCAGCAGCCGCGGUAAAACGUAGGUCACAAGCGUUGUCCGGAAUUACUGGGUGUAAAGGGAGCGCAGGCGGGAAGACAAGUUGGAAGUGAAAUCCAUGGGCUCAACCCAUGAACUGCUUUCAAAACUGUUUUUCUUGAGUAGUGCAGAGGUAGGCGGAAUUCCCGGUGUAGCGGUGGAAUGCGUAGAUAUCGGGAGGAACACCAGUGGCGAAGGCGGCCUACUGGGCACCAACUGACGCUGAGGCUCGAAAGUGUGGGUAGCAAACAGGAUUAGAUACCCUGGUAGUCCACACCGUAAACGAUGAUUACUAGGUGUUGGAGGAUUGACCCCUUCAGUGCCGCAG
RNAcentral lists this ribosomal RNA (695 nucleotides) under uncultured bacterium. RNAcentral describes it as "bacterial SSU rRNA". It matches the Rfam family "Bacterial small subunit ribosomal RNA", at positions 140 to 851 of the family's 1533-position model. The record is from RNAcentral.